GUAUUCUAUGGGGUGCAAACUUUAAAUGCAACUUAAGUACUAAUUUAUUUUAUCAGACCCUUAUGUAAAUCAUGCAUUACCGCUAGCCAACAUGAAUAUUACAUA
This 105-nucleotide non-coding RNA is filed under the name Chlorocebus sabaeus (green monkey). RNAcentral describes it as "Mitochondrial DNA control region secondary structure A". It matches the Rfam family "Mitochondrial DNA control region secondary structure A". The record is from Rfam by way of RNAcentral. Lineage: Eukaryota; Metazoa; Chordata; Mammalia; Primates; Cercopithecidae.